This 253-nucleotide ribosomal RNA is filed under the name uncultured bacterium. RNAcentral's name for it is "partial 16S ribosomal RNA". It matches the Rfam family "Bacterial small subunit ribosomal RNA", at positions 524 to 776 of the family's 1533-position model. The record is from RNAcentral.
UACAGAGGUCUCAAGCGUUGUUCGGAUUCAUUGGGCGUAAAGGGUGCGUAGGCGGCGCGGUAAGUCGGGUGUGAAAUCUCGGGGCUUAACUCGGAGCCUGCAGGCGAAACUGCCGUGCUUGAGUGUGGGAGAGGUGCGUGGAAUUCCCGGUGUAGCGGUGAAAUGCGUAGAUAUCUGGAGGAACACCGGUGGCGAAGGCGGCAUCCUGGACCGACACUGACGCUGAGGCGCGAAAGCUAGGGGAGCAAACGGG